RNAcentral lists this long non-coding RNA (467 nucleotides) under Arachis ipaensis. Its description in RNAcentral is "long non-coding RNA (AIPA_LNC002435)". The record is from RNAcentral. Lineage: Eukaryota; Viridiplantae; Streptophyta; Magnoliopsida; Fabales; Fabaceae.
AGGAAUAAGAUACGUAAUAUUCGUAGAGUUCAAGACACUUAACCGCGUAACUUUGAGAAAUAAUUUCUAACGUUCCCAAGACCCGCGACUCACGAUAUUUAUGACUCUCAUAUCGUCUAUGAUAACCCAUUGGUGCUUCCAUAUACAUAAUUCACAGUGCUAAGCCGGCCAAACUUAAUACCAGGAAUUAUGCAAUGCAAGACUAAUAGCAUUAAUCAAUAGGCCGUCAUGUGCAUAAAGCUCUAAUUCUCGUUAUUCAAACAAGACCUACUACAUGACCGACUCACAGAGUAUGCAAUUGUUACAUAAUCAGUCCAUUCCCAAGGCUCUACAGGAAAGACCGCUCUGAUACCACAAUGUAACACCCUCACUAUCAGAAGUCACGCUUCCGGCUGCGCUACUCUGAUAACAAGAAGUAUUACGACUACUUUACAUACUAAAUAUUAAAAUAGGAGCCUGUGACUCAA